CCAAGGAAACGCUUUAAGCUCCACCUGCUGGCAGAGAGUGAAUCUGCGUCUCGUUCAGCUCGUCUGCUGUUUCUGUUUCAUGCUGAUGUUUUUGUGUGUAGUUUCACAAAACUGAAGUUAAAUAAUUCUGUUUUUGGAAAGAGCACAGACAAAGCCUUAUUUUGUUUAUAUGAAGAGAUUUCUUUUAUUUGUGUUACUUAUUUAUUUGAUUUGGGGCUUGUUAUAAAAUUUCAAUUUAGUUUUUUUAUUUACAUUUACAUUAUAUUUAAAUUUGAUUAUUUGGCAGACGCUUUUAUCCAAAGCGACUUACAGAUGAGGACAACAGAAGCAAUCAAAACCAACAAAAGAGCAAUAAUAUGCUAUAUUAGUAUAUUAUUAGAGUUAUAUUUCAAUUUCACAAAGAAACAUACAGCAUUUUGUCCAAGCAAUAAUAAAAGGACACAUUUAAUUUGUCUUAAAUUUCAUUUAGUUAAAAAAAUAAUAAUAAUUGUGAAUCUAAUCAAAUUGUGAAAUCAAAAUCGUGAAUCGAAUCGAACCGUGAGUUGAGUGAAUCGUUACAUCCCUAGUCUUGACAUGUUUCAUGACAAACAUUUCCUGACACUUUAAAUGUAUGAUAACCUUGUAGUUUGAGUUUGACCAUGGGCUGAACGACAUGCUUUUUUCUUUUGGGGUGAAUGAAGUCGAGACCAGGACAUGAAAAUAUGUUUUUAGACUUAGACUCAAGGUGGACUACACACUGUCAUGAUCACCCAUUUUUUGGGUGAUCACUCUCUUAAUCCUAAUUCUAUCCUAAUUCUAUCCUAAUUCUCUAACCUCAUGUGUUUUGGGGCAUUUACAUAGCUCUGAGAUCAGUUGGAGAGUAGCUAGCUGAAGUGGGAGAACUGGUCAUAGAUAUUCAGUGCGAGGGCCUUUGGCCUGACUCUAGUCUCUGUGUUCAGUGGUGGCCACACAUUGCCUUUAAAAGGGCAUAUUUGAGCAGUGAUGUUCGUGUCUUUUCAUGUUUGAGGUGGAGGUUUAGAGAGCUGAGUCAUAGGGAUCAUGUUUGAGCCAGGAGCUGUUAUGAUGGUUUGGAUUACUAACAGAGUUCUGGGUGACUGUGCUCUUGUGUGGGGAUUACCCACAUACUUUGGCUUCCAGUUUUCUUUCUCCAACUUUCUUUCUUUCUUUUCCAUAUGUAACUCCCCCCUGGAAGCUGGCACUGCUCCCUUCAUCUCAUUGGUCUUCUUCCCCUUCUGAUUCAGUUUCCUCAAAUGUUCCCCCUCCUCAUGAUGAACAUGAAUUAUCUCCUAGCAGGUACCCUUCUGCCAUCACUUACUCACCCUCAUGUCAUUUUUUUUUUUAAACCUGUAUGAAUUAUUUAUUUUGUGGAGCACAAAAGAAAUUUUUUUUAGCGUCCAAAUUUUUGUCAAUAUGCUCCAAACUUUUAUGCUCCAAAAAAAGAUAUUGUGAAAUUAAUCCAUACAAGUAAAAUAGCAUCUUCAAACUACAGACGAUGUCACCAUACACUAAGACAACAUCAAAUAUAGUGACACAAGCAUCCAAUGUCAUGUGGUUUGGUCACGUGAUGUGUGAGAACCAGUGAGAUUUAAUGUUAUUGACGUUUGAGGUUUGUGUUGCCAUAUUGAGCUAUUCCAAUGUGGUGACCAAUUCAAAUAUCAAUCUCAGUCUAAAGGUCUUUGCACACUGAGUCUGAAAUUUUCAUAUGCAUUUUUUCAUAUUUUUCAUUGUAAAAAUUUGUCAUGCACAGAAACCUUGCACAUUGAUAGGCAUUAAUUAAUCCAUUGCAAAAAAAAAAAAAAAAAACAUUUCGCAAAACAAUACAAAAUGGAGUCUUCACGCAGGGAGGAUGAUUUUGUUGUCCUCUCGCUUUUUAGGUAAAAGAGGAAAUAUUGGGUCCAUCUAAUGUUGAGAUUGUGUAGAGAGGAAGGAGAUACACCUGGCUCCAACUCCAACACACCUGGCUGUUGUUUUCUAGCAGUCCUGAACACCUUGAUUGUGUUUGUUAGGUUUGAUUAACUUUGGAGCUAAACUCUGCAUGAAGGUAGCCCACAGCUUCAACGCACCUUCAUGGAAGUUUAGUGAUCCAAAGAGUGUGUUUAGCUGGUUUAGAUUUGUUCAGUUAGGGGUUGGAGCUAAUCUCCAGAUGGUGGCCCUCCAGGAGAAAAAUUGGGCCCCAUUUCAUUAGUACCAAUCAACAUGUGAGUGAAGGGGACAGGCUGUAAGUGUGGCGGUCCAACAGUUUAGGAUUUAGGCAACCUUGAACAGAGAAAAACAGCUGUUAUACAACAGCAGCACACUGAAGUCUGGUGUUCAUGGCUUGAAGCCCAAUUUAAGAAUCUCUGCAAGAGCCAAACAAAUUAUGUCACAUUCACAAUUACAGGGAGACUGAAGAGAGGGCAGGAAAUUAGAUGUAUAUGUAACAACACAAGAAAGGAGAGGAGGGAGAGAGAAAACCUAAGAGAGAUGGUAAGGAACGAAGAGCAUUUUCAGAAGAGUGAAAAGUCAAGAGUAGCAUUUCAUGAGCGGUGAUGAACAGCACGGUAACACACAAUGCCAAUAGUGUUGUAUUUAUUGUGAAACUUUUUUAUUUAUUUAUAGUAUUAUGACCUAAACUUAAAGGUGCAUUCAGUAUGUUUUUAGUUAGCGUUAGCAUUGUUGUUCUUUGCAUAUACUUUAAGAAGUUUCUACAGUGAGUUUAGUUUUAAUUUUCUGUCCACCAGAUGUAAAUAAAGUAGUAGUUCACCUGAGCAUCGCAACACACUGCAUGAUUUCAUUCAUGUCUGCAUCAUAAAUAAACUGGGUGUUCCCAUAGAGCGCUUCCAUGCUAGCACUGUAAAACAUUGUUUUUCUGUGUUUUGUACUGAGAAAUCAGGGGCGUGUUCCUCACUGUGUGCUGCACCUGCAGUAACAGAGAAAACACCUGCAGUGUCUCUGACCGCACCACAGAUAUUUGGGGCCUCAGGAGGUACUUUAAAUGAUUUGAAAGGUGCAAGGUGCACUUUUGUUCUGCCCUGAGACCUGCAGCACUUUACAGCUCUAUUGUUCUGCCACUUGUGUAAUGCAGAGGUGAAGGGGACCGCCUUAAGUGUCUCACACACACACACACACACACACACACACACACACACACACACACACACACACACACACACACACACACACACCAUCUCUAUUAUCUUUUUAGAGAUAUAAAUAGAAACUUUUAGGCCUAUUUUGAUAUCCUAAAUGCUGAUAAAUGCUGGAUUAGAUGAAGUGUACUGAAGUGCCUGUAAGAAACACCCUGUGAAAAGAAAAAUCACAACUGAGAUCUUUUUAAUGUGGUGUGCAAAUUAAGAAUUUAGCUUAGGCCCUAUCCCAAAUGGCACCCUUCAUGUGCAUGUGUGGUCCUGCGGAUUUACAAAGGUUGCUGCAUACAUGUGUCUGUGAAGUCCACAAGAACUUAGGGUGUCCUAUUUGUCAUUUUAGGUUACAGAAGGUUCCUCACAAGCCCUUCUGUGACCUAUAUGUGCCCAUGAGGCGAGCUCUAUAUUAUGGCAUUAUGUCAUGAAGGUAUGGAUUUGGAGGAAAUCUGUGAGGGCUUAGGGUGUCAUUUGGGACAUGUGCAGAAGUGCCUCG
Molecule: long non-coding RNA, 3615 nt
Organism: Cyprinus carpio carpio
Lineage: Eukaryota; Metazoa; Chordata; Actinopteri; Cypriniformes; Cyprinidae
Source: Ensembl